Long non-coding RNA from Oxyura jamaicensis (ruddy duck), 254 nucleotides. RefSeq lists it as uncharacterized. Lineage: Eukaryota; Metazoa; Chordata; Aves; Anseriformes; Anatidae. The record is from RefSeq and is a predicted model, not a curated record. The transcript is spliced from 3 exons.
GGAAGCCAAAUAAUGAGCACGAUUAGAGAGAGAGGUUGUUUGGAGAACACAAACAAACCAGAGUUGGAAGGUAAGACGACUCGCAUCAAAGCAGGGAUGGUACAACUCCAGUCUUAACGUAGCAGAAGACAAAGGAGGGGGCACUCACCGCUCUCACAUGUCACUCCCCUCCAGCCGAUGUCACAUUCACAGGAGCCAUCCCCAUCGAUCCCACUGCUGCACUUCCCGUGGACGCAUGCACACACUGUGGGGAG